Molecule: long non-coding RNA, 205 nt
Filed under: Elaeis guineensis (African oil palm)
Lineage: Eukaryota; Viridiplantae; Streptophyta; Magnoliopsida; Arecales; Arecaceae
Description: long non-coding RNA (EGUI_LNC009482)
Source: RNAcentral
CUUCUCUUUGCUAUGUUUCUCUUUUGUAGGUGGCCUCUUUCUCAUUCCUUAUCUUCUUUUCCUUAAGAACUUCUUAAACCUUCCAGUAAUGAGGGCCAUUUCUUCAUCCUGCUCUUCAUUUUCUAUAUCAUCAGAUUCUUCAUCAGGUUGAGCAGUGGAUUUGAGGGCGAUUAUCCUCUUUUUUUUGAUAUCUUCUUCUUGAUGU